RNAcentral lists this long non-coding RNA (649 nucleotides) under Strigops habroptila (Kakapo). Its description in RNAcentral is "lncRNA (ENSSHBG00005002408.1)". The record is from RNAcentral. Lineage: Eukaryota; Metazoa; Chordata; Aves; Psittaciformes; Psittacidae.
GGGUCCUGGGAGCUGUGUAUGUCCGCGGUGCGGGAGCGGUUCCAGGGAAGGGCCACGGAGCUGGUGAAGGGCUUGGAUCACAAGUGUGAUGAGGAGCAGCUGGAGGAACUGGUGGUAUUAGUCUGGAGAAGAGAAGGCUCAGGGGGGACUUUAUCGUUCUCUACAACUGCCUGAAAGGAGGAUGGAGCCAGGAGUGGUCUAUCCUGAUUUGCUGUCUGGAAUCUCUUCUGCAAGGUUUGCUGGGAAGCCUUGGAAGAUGUGGUGCUUCUAUAACAUCUUUAUGCUAGAAACACAAGGAGCAUGUGACUAUGCAGUUCUAUUCAACCUGACGGAUGAGAUACCUAUAUUCCCUGAUGUGAACAAAACCAACUUGAAUUCCAGUGAUUCUUCAGACACUUUCUUACAGGGAUCAAUGUAUGCUUUCCUUCUGUUAGCAAUGCAAACUAAAGGGAUCAGUUUUAAUAGGACAUACUUUCAAAUAUUUAUUUUCCCAUAUUUUUUUAAAGAAUCCAGCUUGGCAUGCUAGAGUGGCAACUUAUCAGAAGCAUCCAGGUCAUAAAUCACUGUUGCUAUUUCAUGUUGCAUUUCAGACUGUAAUUUUUCUUUUCUUCCUUCAAAUCUUUCAUGACUCAAAAAAGAAAAAAAAAAA